RNAcentral lists this ribosomal RNA (757 nucleotides) under Xanthoria resendei. RNAcentral describes it as "LSU rRNA". It matches the Rfam family "Eukaryotic large subunit ribosomal RNA", at positions 173 to 944 of the family's 3401-position model. The record is from RNAcentral. Lineage: Eukaryota; Fungi; Ascomycota; Lecanoromycetes; Teloschistales; Teloschistaceae.
GCGCCGGUCUAAGUCCCUUGGAACGGGGCGUCAUAGAGGGUGAGAAUCCCGUAUGUGACCGGUGACCGAGCCCAUGUGAAACCCCUUCGACGAGUCGAGUUGUUUGGGAAUGCAGCUCAAAACGGGUGGUAAAUUUCAUCUAAAGCUAAAUACCGGCCAGAGACCGAUAGCGCACAAGUAGAGUGAUCGAAAGAUGAAAAGCACUUUGGAAAGAGAGUCAAAAAGUACGUGAAAUUGUUGAAAGGGAAGCGCUUGCAACCAGACCUGCCCGCGGGUGAUCAGCCGUCCCUCUGGGCGGUGCACUCGCCCGCGAUCAGGCCAGCAUCGGUUCGGGCGGCCGGAUAAAGGCCUUGGGAACGUGGCUCCCCUCGGGGAGCGUUAUAGCCCUCGGUGCAAUGCGGCCUGCCCGGACCGAGGACCGCGCUUCGGCUAGGAUGCUGGCGUAAUGGUUGCAAGCGGCCCGUCUUGAAACACGGACCAAGGAGUCGACCAACUAUGCGAGUGUUUGGGUGUCAAAACCCAGACGCGCAAUGAAAGUGAACGGAGGUGGGAACCCCUUCGCGGGGCGCACCAUCGACCGAUCCAGAUGUCUUCGGAUGGAUUUGAGUACGAGCAUAGCCGGUCGGACCCGAAAGAUGGUGAACUAUGCCUGGAUAGGGUGAAGCCAGAGGAAACUCUGGUGGAGGCUCGCAGCGGUUCUGACGUGCAAAUCGAUCGUCAAAUUUGGGCAUAGGGGCGAAAGACCAAUCGAACCAUC